UACGCAGGGUGCGAGCGUUAAUCGGAAUUACUGGGCGUAAAGCGUGCGCAGGCGGCGCGUUAAGACAGGUGUGAAAGCCCCGAGCUUAACUUGGGAAUUGCGCUUGUGACUGGCGUGCUGGAGUGUGGCAGAGGGAGGUGGAAUUCCACGUGUAGCAGUGAAAUGCGUAGAGAUGUGGAGGAACACCGAUGGCGAAGGCAGCCUCCUGGGCCAGCACUGACGCUCAUGCACGAAAGCGUGGGGAGCAAACAG
This 252-nucleotide ribosomal RNA is filed under the name uncultured bacterium. RNAcentral describes it as "partial 16S ribosomal RNA". It matches the Rfam family "Bacterial small subunit ribosomal RNA", at positions 524 to 775 of the family's 1533-position model. The record is from RNAcentral.